CAGCGCCACGGUAAUACGAAGGGUGCAAGCGUUACUCGGAAUUACUGGGCGUAAAGCGUGCGUAGGCGGCUUCUUAAGUCGGAUGUGAAAUCCCUGAGCUUAACUUAGGAAUUGCAUUCGAUACUGGGAAGCUAGAGUAUGGGAGAGGAUGGUAGAAUUCCAGGUGUAGCGGUGAAAUGCGUAGAGAUCUGGAGGAAUACCGAUGGCGAAGGCAGCCAUCUGGCCUAAUACUGACGCUGAGGUACGAAAGCAUGGGGAGCAAACAGGAUUAGAUACCCCAGUAGUCCCUGUCUCUUAUACA
Molecule: ribosomal RNA, 301 nt
Filed under: uncultured bacterium
Lineage: Bacteria
Description: partial 16S ribosomal RNA
Rfam family: Bacterial small subunit ribosomal RNA
Source: RNAcentral